AUACGGAAGGUCCGAGCGUUAUCCGGAUUUAUUGGGUUUAAAGGGAGCGUAGGCGGGAUGCCAAGUCAGUUGUGAAAGUCCGCGGCUCAACCGUGGAAUUGCAGUUGAAACUGGUAUUCUUGAGUGUACAUAACGAAGGUGGAAUUUGUGGUGUAGCGGUGAAAUGCUUAGAUAUCACGAAGAACUCCGAUUGCGAAGGCUGCCUUCGGGGGUACUAAUGACGCUGAGGAUCGAAAGUGCGGAAACCAAACAGGAUUAGAUACCCUGGUAGGCUGCACCGGAAGCGAUGGACACUCGGGGUUGGCCCUUGUGGUCAGUCACCCAGCGAAAGCGUUAAGUGUCCCCCCUGGGGAGUACGCCGGCAACGGUGAAACUCAAAUGAAUUGACGGGG
This 392-nucleotide ribosomal RNA is filed under the name uncultured bacterium. Its description in RNAcentral is "partial 16S ribosomal RNA". It matches the Rfam family "Bacterial small subunit ribosomal RNA", at positions 523 to 918 of the family's 1533-position model. The record is from RNAcentral.